This is a long non-coding RNA of Lutzomyia longipalpis, 1811 nucleotides long. RefSeq lists it as uncharacterized. NCBI's taxonomy places the organism in Eukaryota, Metazoa, Arthropoda, Insecta, Diptera, Psychodidae. The record is from RefSeq and is a predicted model, not a curated record. The transcript has 3 exons.
GUGUGUGUAUAAAACAUUUCAAUACAACAUACAAAUACAAAACAUACUCAACCAUAUAUACGAGAAGUUGAGCCAUCGAAACAUUAAAUAGCGCCAAACAGCAAAACCCGCCAGUUCCCUCUUGGAUACCGUGUUCAACACUUGCCUUAUAGUUGGUUGUCUUUUUACCACGAGGAGGAGUCUCUCUCUUUGAACACUCUCUUGUGUGAACUUUGACCCUCUCAAGACGCCAAAGGCAAAAUUUAUUUAUAUUACGUGGAAUAAUCUCAUAUAUAGGCAGGGUUCAAAAUGUCUACUGCAGAAAUUUCGCACCUCAAAAUGGCAAAUUCCGGUGAAACAGGAACAGGAGUUGAUUCGGCGUACAAGAAUAAUUACGUGACGGGUGCCAACAAAUACUGGCCAACACUUUUCAAACUAUUCGAAUUGGUAAGUUUGAUUAUUUUCUUAUUUUUUUAGCUGUGUUUCUUUCAGACACAGCUUUUGUGUACCGAGCAAAAUCGAAAGUCGUCAGAUCGGGCUCAAACUUGGGAUGAGCACGAAUUAGGGUCCCCACAUUCCAAAAAACGUAUGCGCCAAAAAAUUUUUUUUCCGGCCGUCCGGCCGUCCGGCCGGAGUACAACGCUAAAUUGCGAGAGAACGGUGAUAGAUAGAGACUUGCGGUAAACGGCAAAGUUUAAAUAUCGACUGGAAGACAUCCGAUUAUGAUGUCAAAUUUUACCCCCCACCCCUGCGUCCGCCAUUUUGAAUAACCUCAAAAUUUUGUUUUCGCUAUAUCUCAGCCCCUAUUAUAGCUAGAGGGCUGAAAUUUUGAUAUGUUGUAGGGGCCAUCAAGAGCUUUCCAACGAUGCCUCAUUUUCGAAAAUCGGUCAAGCCGUUUAGUCAAUAUGGCCGCCACAAUUUUUCAUCGAAAAUCGACCAUAACUCGAAAACGGCUUGACCAAUUUUGAUCAACUCAGGGUCAAAUGAAAGAUCUCAACAAACCCUACAACUCUCUAGAACAUCAGAGGUUUCAAAAGUGACCGCUAGAGGGCCAAAAAUCAAAAACAAAUUUUUCGAUGAAUAUCUCGAAAACGCCAUUAUCGAUUUGCUUCAUUUUUUGAUAUGUUAUAGCUGACCAUAUUAUCUAGCUCCAUGCCAAAAAUGAAGAAAAUCUAUGUCGCCGUUCUCGAGAUAUAGCCUUCCAAAGUUGGCAUGUCAUAUCUCGGGUUCUACAAGUCGGAUUUUGAUCAACUCAAGUGCAAAUGAAAGGUUUCGUGAAGCCCUACAAAUGUCUAGAACAUUGCAAGUUCGAGAAAUGGCCGCGAGAGGCGCUAAAGUCAAAAUCAAAAUUUUCGAAAAUUUCGAACUCGAAUAUUUCGAAAAUGCCAAUAUCGAUUUACUUCAUAUUUUAAUAUAUUAUAGUUGAGGUUAAGACCUUUCCAACGAUAGCUCAAAAUCGAAAAUCUAUGGAGCCGUUCCCGAGAUAUGGCGUUUUAAAGAUUUCUUAGGGGAUUAAUUUUCAACUUUUCCCGACUGCGCGUAUUUAAAUUAAUUUACGCUCUAGUUUGCUCUCACAAAAUUGGUACACUGAAAGAAACACAGCUCUCGUAAGCUUGGACAGCUUACCAGUACAUUUUAAUAAAAUAAAUCAAAACUUAAGCAAAAAAGAAACUUAUUGAUUCAACAAAUUUACAUUUAAGGUUUCUAUGUUAAGAAUAACGAAAAGAACGAAUGUCCGACAGAAUAAAUAUAAUUUUCAUGUUAGAUUCCUCUAUAAUAAUAAUUAUUUUGUAGAUGAAACUCAUGGAAUAAAGAGAUACUAAAGCAUAUAA